UACGUAGGGUGCGAGCGUUAAUCGGAAUUACUGGGCGUAAAGCGUGCGCAGGCGGUCUGUUACGUCUGCUGUGAAAACCCAGGGCUUAACCCUGGGCUUGCAGUGGAUACGGGCAGACUAGAGGCAGGUAGGGGAGAAUGGAAUUCCCGGUGUAGCGGUGAAAUGCGCAGAUAUCGGGAGGAACACCGGUGGCGAAGGCGGUUCUCUGGGCCUGACCUGACGCUGAGGAGCGAAAGCGUGGGGAGCGAACAGG
This 253-nucleotide ribosomal RNA is filed under the name uncultured bacterium. RNAcentral's name for it is "partial 16S ribosomal RNA". It matches the Rfam family "Bacterial small subunit ribosomal RNA", at positions 524 to 776 of the family's 1533-position model. The record is from RNAcentral.